Molecule: long non-coding RNA, 465 nt
Organism: Harpia harpyja (harpy eagle)
Lineage: Eukaryota; Metazoa; Chordata; Aves; Accipitriformes; Accipitridae
Exons: 2
Source: RefSeq, a predicted model, not a curated record
AAAGAUGAAUGCAUUAACAUUGCCUCAUUAACAACUGAGUUUUGUUUUGUUUUCCAGCUGGAUGAUAGGAAUGUUCAAUGCCAAAAAUCCUGCUUAUAGAAACUACAGCUUGUCAGAAGUUUAUGUGCUUAUUUAAAACCACAAACUAACUGCAAAGCCAGCGUCUCCUCUCUUCCUCAAGUUUAUUAAGAAUUCAGUAAAUCCCACAGAGCCAGAGCAUUCCAUCUUUUUGCCCCACAAAACCACUCGCUCAUUUGCUUUGAGACAGAGAGCAAAAAGACCAGUUUUGAUCCCAGCUUCCUAUGACUAAGAGAGAACACAAAGGUGCAUGGAGGGAAAGGCAAUGAUCAACAGUGAUGUGCCUUGCACUGAAAGCAUUAAGCACUGGGUAUCUCGGUGAUCCUGCCCCUCCUCUGAGAGGACCUUCGGGAUUCUGCCAGAAACAAAGGACGACCUUUUUUCCCC